This 253-nucleotide ribosomal RNA is filed under the name uncultured bacterium. RNAcentral describes it as "partial 16S ribosomal RNA". It matches the Rfam family "Bacterial small subunit ribosomal RNA", at positions 524 to 776 of the family's 1533-position model. The record is from RNAcentral.
UACGUAGGGUGCAAGCGUUAAUCGGAAUUACUGGGCGUAAAGCGUGCGCAGGCGGUUCUAUAAGACAGAUGUGAAAUCCCCGGGCUCAACCUGGGAACUGCAUUUGUGACUGUAGAGCUGGAGUACGGCAGAGGGGGAUGGAAUUCCGCGUGUAGCAGUGAAAUGCGUAGAUAUGCGGAGGAACACCGAUGGCGAAGGCAAUCCCCUGGGCCUGUACUGACGCUCAUGCACGAAGGCGUGGGGAGCAAACAGG